AUGGAGGACCUGCUGGACGCCGAGAUCGGCAAGAACGACUACGACUGGCUUCUUACACCGCCUGGGACGCCCCGUGUUCCUGCUCUGGAGGUUGCUCAGAAAAUACCAUCCUCAAAUAUAUUGCCUAAGCGCACCCUCACUAGAUCUUCCUCAACUACAAGAGCAUCAAGGCUUUCGGUGUCUCAAACAGAGAAUGGACAUUCUGCAGUUCCCACUAGACCAGCAAGAAGUAACUCUGUAACCCGCCCUUCUAUCCAAUCAACUCUCAUGUCAAGCAAUAACAGGACAUCAGUUCUCAGCGCAAGUAUUUCAUCUGUCAGUUCAAGACCUACAACCCCAAGUAGGCGAAGCAGCACCAUUGCUGCGCCAAAACAAUUGGUGCCAGCUUCACGUCCAGUUCCAGCAAGGUCAUCUACUCCUGUUAAACCUCGUCCAUCUACACCAUCCAAAACUCGCCCGUCUACUCCUGUGAAAACUCAUCAAGCAACAUCUAACUCUGCAACUGACGCAGCUGCUGGCAGGACCACAGCCACCCAAAGUUCAAGGCCAUCGACUCCAAAUUCUCGGUCUCGAAUUAUGUUGAAUUCCUCUUCAGGUUCUAUUCCUGCAAUGAGCCGCCCAAGUCCAUCCGUAGGUAUCAUUCCUGCAACGAGCCGCCCAGGCGCUUCCUCAAGUAAUGGUCAUGGGACAAGCCAUCCCACCUCAUUGUCUUCUGGUACAGUUCCUUCAGUCAGUCGCUCCAGCUCACGAUCAUCUACACCUACACGUCAGCCUGCAGUGCGUUCAUCGACCCCAGCUAUGGGCCGUUCGCCUUCUUUUGGACGCACUUCUAGUAGCAAUAGCUUGACGACAUCUAUGAACCGACCUGCAGCUAGUAGUGGCCGAAGUUCAGCACCGUCAUCAGCUCCAUCAUCCCGUCCAAGUUCCCCAGGUGCACGACCCCGAGCUCCAGUGCGGCCACAUGAUACCCCUUCAUCAGCUCCUUCAUCUCGUCCAAGCUCCCCAAGUCCACGACCCCGAGCUCCGGUGCGGCCACUUGAUAUCCCUGAUUUCCCAAAUGAAACACCACCAAACCUAAGGACAAAGCUACCUGAGCGACCACUAUCUGCUGGUAGAUCACGCCCUGGAAUGGCUUCAGGAAUAAGAUCAAACCCACAUGCUGAACAGUUAGCUGCCUCGGCUCCUGCAAAAAAGCUCUCCGUGCCUGCUGCAAGUCGUAAUAAGUUUUCAGAUCCACCAUCAAAGGCGCCUUCUCGCUCCAAUGGACACCAAAAUAGGCAGUCUGAAAGGCCCGUUGUUGACAGUCAAGCUACUAGGACUGCACGGACUGGUGCAGUUGCAGGCGAUAAUGGAUUCGGGAGGACAAUUUCAAAGAAUUCACUUGACAUGGCAAUCAAGCACAUGGACAUUCGGCAGAACUUGGGUGGCAUCCGUGGCGCAUCCCUGUUUCCCCACAGCAUCCGCUCGAGCGCCGGCAAGGCCCGCCCGGUCCGAAUGUCUGACCCCGGGCAUCCCACCUCGAACGGUGACCACCGGCACUACGCCGACAACGGCAGCACCAACGGGCACUUCUUCUCGGGCGACUCGUACGGGGCCCUGUCGCGCAACGGAGGCAGCUCGACGGACUCGCCGGAUCGGGGAAGCUUCGGGACCAAGGAGACGUCCCUGAGCGAGCUGGACAUCUACGGGAGCUCGCGGUACGAGGCGAUGCUGCUGCGCGGGGAGGACGUGAGGAACACGAGCUGGCUGCACGGCGGGUUCGACGACGACAAGCCCGACCAGAGCCCCCUGUUCGACCACCGGUUCGAGCCGCUCCCGGAGCCCUUCAGCCCCUUCUGA
This 1839-nucleotide ribosomal RNA is filed under the name Triticum aestivum (bread wheat). Its description in RNAcentral is "partial small subunit ribosomal RNA". Lineage: Eukaryota; Viridiplantae; Streptophyta; Magnoliopsida; Poales; Poaceae. The record is from RNAcentral.